GAUGAAGAACGUAGCGAAAUGCGAUAAGUAGUGUGAAUUGCAGAAUUCAGUGAAUCAUCGAAUCUUUGAACGCACAUUGCGCCCUUUGGUUUUCCUUAGGGCAUGCCUGUUCGAGCGUCAUUUAAACCUUCAAGCUAAGCUUGGUGUUGGGUGACUGUCCGCUUCACGGCGGACUCGCCUCAAAAUUAUUGGCGGCCGGUACAUUGGCUUCGAGCGCAGCAGAAACGCGAACUCGGGCCCGUCGUAUUGGCUCCCAGAAGCUAUCUUCACAAUUUUGACCUCGGAUCAGGUAGGGAUACCCGCUGAACUUAAGCAUAUCAAUAAGCGGAGGA
This 332-nucleotide unclassified non-coding RNA is filed under the name soil metagenome. RNAcentral's name for it is "partial contains 5.8S ribosomal RNA, internal transcribed spacer 2, and large subunit ribosomal RNA". The stretch from base 1 to 120 matches the Rfam family "5.8S ribosomal RNA", at positions 35 to 154 of the family's 154-position model. The record is from RNAcentral.